AUGCACGCUGGCGGCGUGCUUAACACAUGCAAGUCGAACGAAACACCUUAUUUGAUUUUCUUCGGAACUGAAGAUUUGGUGAUUGAGUGGCGGACGGGUGAGUAACGCGUGGGUAACCUGCCCUGUACAGGGGGAUAACAGUCAGAAAUGACUGCUAAUACCGCAUAAGACCACAGCACCGCAUGGUGCAGGGGUAAAAACUCCGGUGGUACAGGAUGGACCCGCGUCUGAUUAGCUGGUUGGUGAGGUAACGGCUCACCAAGGCGACGAUCAGUAGCCGGCUUGAGAGAGUGAACGGCCACAUUGGGACUGAGACACGGCCCAAACUCCUACGGGAGGCAGCAGUGGGGAAUAUUGCACAAUGGGGGAAACCCUGAUGCAGCGACGCCGCGUGAGUGAAGAAGUAUUUCGGUAUGUAAAGCUCUAUCAGCAGGGAAGAAAAUGACGGUACCUGACGAAGAAGCCCCGGCUAACUACGUG
Molecule: ribosomal RNA, 480 nt
Filed under: uncultured bacterium
Lineage: Bacteria
Description: partial 16S ribosomal RNA
Rfam family: Bacterial small subunit ribosomal RNA
Source: RNAcentral